ACAGGGCUACUCCGGCUGAUUGACGUGCCAGCCGGCCAAUGGUGCGCGCGCUCAGGCGGGCGGGCGGGGUUACCUGCUCCAAGGUGUGCCGGGAGGGGUGCGGGGAAGAUCCUGAGGGCAGAGCUGGGGAGCCGUGAGGGAGAGCGCGGUGGGCACGGUCCCUUGGAGGCACUAGAUAUGCCAGGAGUGUCCAGAUUGUGGGUCUGCUGAUCUUCAGGCACAGAGCAGUGGUGGCACCCAGCUCACAACCAGAUGUCAAGCAGAGGGAAAUAAGCACAAGAAUAACCCAGGAAGAGGCAGAGUCUGGGAAAAGCCUCCAGCUUCCCGCGCCCGUGCGGAAAGCAUCCUCCUCCGCUUUGCAGCGCCGCUCCCGGGGCCGGUGCAGGGGCUCGGCCGGGC
Non-coding RNA from Lonchura striata (white-rumped munia), 399 nucleotides. The record is from RefSeq and is a predicted model, not a curated record. NCBI's taxonomy places the organism in Eukaryota, Metazoa, Chordata, Aves, Passeriformes, Estrildidae.